This is a non-coding RNA of Durio zibethinus, 795 nucleotides long. Lineage: Eukaryota; Viridiplantae; Streptophyta; Magnoliopsida; Malvales; Malvaceae. The record is from RefSeq and is a predicted model, not a curated record.
UGAACCAGGAACUUAAAAGAAAAAUAAAAAUAGUAAGUUGCAGUGCAGCACUCAUAUCGAUUCUUACCUGAAGAACUGUACCGAUGCGUUGAGCUUAUGCUUUGUGAAGAUGCUUCCCUGCCUGUGCCUCAAUGUCUGAGAAAUGAUGUAAGUACUGUACCAGCAGUGACAUUGAACCUAGGCAUCAGUGAGUAACACCAUUAUUGCAAUGAUUAAAUGCAACACCCAAGCGUUGCUCUUCUUUUCCACUAAACCAUCUUACUUCUGCUUGAGUUUUUCUUUGUAGUCAAUCCGUGCCAUUGUUUAAAGCUGUAAAUAAAAAUGGGUGCUUUGCUUGGAGACAUGAUAUAUCCAGAUUAUAAGCGUAUUAUACCACUUGGAAUAUAGCCAGGUAACCAAAUAUUGAUACCUUGCUUUAUUAUUUUUUCUCGCAUGGAGAUGCCGAAAAUUAUGAUUUGCAUCUGAAAUCUUGAAAAAAGAAUAUGAAGUAAUCUUCAUGUUUUGAAAUUGAUUUUGUGGGCAGCGUGCAAGGUUUACAAAUUACAAUCUGUGAACGCAGCGAUUACAGUGGCAGGUUAACUCAAGUUAAGAUCAGGAAUAUUGAAUGCUCCUUACUCCUAAAAGGAUCAGCUAAAAUUCUCUCUUGCAUCUCUCUGUGGAUUUAGCUUUCUGGCUUAUAAAAGGACUGAAAAGGUUUAUGAAGAGUUCAAGUUGAAGAAGCUUUUGCUCGACAAAAGCAAAUGAAGUUUAGACAUGCAUGUGUGAAGAAUUUGCUACAAUCAGCAAACGAGGAUA